RNAcentral lists this long non-coding RNA (912 nucleotides) under Phasianus colchicus (ring-necked pheasant). Its description in RNAcentral is "lncRNA (ENSPCLG00000017072.1)". The record is from RNAcentral. Lineage: Eukaryota; Metazoa; Chordata; Aves; Galliformes; Phasianidae.
CCACAACCAGCAUCCCACAACCAGCAUCCCAUAACCACCGCCCCGUAAGCAGCGCCCCAUAACCAGUGCCCCAUAGGCACCGCCCCAUAACCAGCACCCCAUAACCAGUGCCCCAUAACCAACAUCCCGCAACCAGCGCUCCACAACCAGCGCCCCAUAACCAGCGCCCCAUCAACAGCGCCCCAUAACCAGCGCCCCAUAACCAGCGCCCCACAACCAGCGCUCCAUAACCAGCAUCCCGUAGCCACUGCCCCAUAAACAGCACCCUAUAAACAGCACCCCAUAACCACCACCCCAUAACCAGCACCCUGUAACCAGCGCCCCAUAACCACCACCCCAUAGGCACUGCCCCAUAACCAGCACCCCAUAAUCAGCACCCCGUAACUACCGCCCCAUAACCACCGCCCCAUCAACAGCGCCCCAUAACCACUGCCCCAUAAACACAGCCCCAUAACCACCGCCCCAUAGCGCACAGCCACCCCAUAGUGCAUCACCCCAUAGGGCACAGCCACCCCAUAGCACAUCACCACCCCACAGCGCAGCGCCGCCCCACAGCGCACAGCCACCCCAUAGCACAUCACCACCCCAUAGCACAUCACCACCCCAUAGCACAUCACCACCCCAUAGCACAUCACCACCCCACAGCACAUCACCACCCCAUAGCACAUCACCACCCCAUAGCACAUCACCACCCCAUAGCACACAGCCGCCCCACAGCGCAGCGCCCGCAGGGCCGCACCUCGCGAGUUGCGCAGGAUGCGCUCGAUGAGCACCGGGUAUUUGGUGAUGCGCUGCGUCACCAGCAGGAUGCACUCCGGGACGCCGUGCCGCCGCAGCAGCGGGGAGCGGGCCAUGCGCUGCGGGACACAACGCCAGCGUGGGGGGCGUGGGGGGCGCGGGGUGAGGUGCGGG